RNAcentral lists this ribosomal RNA (200 nucleotides) under uncultured bacterium. RNAcentral's name for it is "partial 16S ribosomal RNA". It matches the Rfam family "Bacterial small subunit ribosomal RNA", at positions 29 to 254 of the family's 1533-position model. The record is from RNAcentral.
AACGAACGCUGGCGGCAGGCUUAACACAUGCAAGUCGAACGGUUGUAGCAAUACAGCAGUGGCAGACGGGUGAGUAACACGUGGGAACCUUCCUAGGGGUACGGAACAACUCAGGGAAACUUGAGCUAAUACCGUAUACGUCCGUGAGGAGAAAGAUUUAUCGCCCCCAGACGGGCCCGCGUAGGAUUAGGUAGUUGGUG